CUCUGUGACUGGCUUGCUUGAUAGUUAGGGUCUGAUUGCUGCCUGAGACACCAUAUCGGUACUCCUCAGAGUUGGUGUAUAUUUAAUUUUUUAUUAGGAAAAAUGACCAUCAUGAAUGCUGUUACAUCUUUGCCUAUAAUACUCAGCAGAAUCUUACCAUUUUCUGCGAGGAUAGUCACUGGAUCAGAAGGUUCAGAAGAGAAUAGACACCUUGAUGGCUCCUCUGGCAGUUCUUGAUGACCAUGGAUGAGCUAAUGGCUGUGGUCUCAAUGGUGGCUUCUUGAGGAGCAUGCAGAGAAAUUGUUUUAGCCUCUGAUAAAUAAAACAGCCUGCCAUGAGAAAAUUACAGCAAGGAAAUUACAGACAUCAUCUCCUUUGAAUAGGGAAAAGGUAACAGGUUGUAAUUGCAGUGGAAGGGGAGACCAAACAUUCAAAGAUUGCUGAAGAGCCAACGAACUCUGAUUCUGUCAAGACGAUGUCUUUGAUUUCUUUCACAAACUUCAAUGGCACAGCCUUUAGCUGUUUAGGAAAAUGCAAGAAGACAUAUGUAGAUGAGACAAAGAUAGACCAUGUCUAUACAUGUAUGAAAUGGAUGGGAGACAAAGGAAGCCACGCUCAUGAGCCAGGACCAUAAAAGCCACAAAAAUAUAAGAAAUGAAUGGGACUACUCUCUGAUCAUUGAAAAAGAGAGACAGAACAUUUGAUGGAGGCAGAAAGAGCGAGGAGUCAG
RNAcentral lists this non-coding RNA (730 nucleotides) under Pongo abelii (Sumatran orangutan). The record is from RNAcentral. Lineage: Eukaryota; Metazoa; Chordata; Mammalia; Primates; Hominidae.